AUAUCUCUGAUUCUAGCCACUGACUGGAGGAGCCCGAUGUAUAACACAACCAGCACCUGCUGUCUAUGGAAUGCUUCAAAACUUCCUUUCUGAUGUCAGGAAGAGGUUAAAAAUGGCAAAUGCAGUUGUAAAUAUGGGUCUGACUCUGUUCUCAUUCUUUCCCUCUUACUAGUUGGGUUCAACAAGAGAAGAUCUGCUGCCUGGUGACAAUUUGCACUACAGUAAAUAACCUUUAGUAUUCUACCGUCACCAGGACGAGUAAAUCCUUCCCAUGCAGACGCACUGGCAGGAUCCUGAGGUCCACAUUCAAUGAUGAAGUGAGGAUGUCUCAAUGACUGGAACUGCUUAGAUGCCAAAAGGACAUUGACUAAUGUCAACUAAACCCGCCCAUUCUCGCCAAACCACUGACAGUCUCACCGACCAAUCUGAUAUUCCACUAAUAGAAGAGGAUAUGACAAGAAGGAUUUGGCUGUUGUGUUUUAACAUGUACAAGCCUUUUGUACUCAAUAAACUGU
Molecule: long non-coding RNA, 515 nt
Organism: Hyla sarda
Lineage: Eukaryota; Metazoa; Chordata; Amphibia; Anura; Hylidae
Exons: 3
Source: RefSeq, a predicted model, not a curated record